GGGUUGUGAGGUUAAGCGACUAAGCGUACACGGUGGAUGCCCUGGCAGUCAGAGGCGAUGAAGGACGUGCUAAUCUGCGAUAAGCGUCGGUGAGGUGAUAUGAACCGUUAUAACCGGCGAUUUCCGAAUGGGGAAACCCAGUGUGUUUCGACACACUAUCAUUAACUGAAUCCAUAGGUUAAUGAGGCGAACCGGGGGAACUGAAACAUCUAAGUACCCCGAGGAAAAGAAAUCAACCGAGAUUCCCCCAGUAGCGGCGAGCGAACGGGGAGGAGCCCAGAGCCUGAAUCAGUGUGUGUGUUAGUGGAAGCGUCUGGAAAGGCGCGCGAUACAGGGUGACAGCCCCGUACACAAAAAUGCACAUAUUGUGAGCUCGAUGAGUAGGGCGGGACACGUGGUAUCCUGUCUGAAUAUGGGGGGACCAUCCUCCAAGGCUAAAUACUCCUGACUGACCGAUAGUGAACCAGUACCGUGAGGGAAAGGCGAAAAGAACCCCGGCGAGGGGAGUGAAAAAGAACCUGAAACCGUGUACGUACAAGCAGUGGGAGCCUCUUAAUGGGGUGACUGCGUACCUUUUGUAUAAUGGGUCAGCGACUUAUAUUCUGUAGCAAGGUUAACCGAAUAGGGGAGCCGAAGGGAAACCGAGUCUUAACUGGGCGUUAAGUUGCAGGGUAUAGACCCGAAACCCGGUGAUCUAGCCAUGGGCAGGUUGAAGGUUGGGUAACACUAACUGGAGGACCGAACCGACUAAUGUUGAAAAAUUAGCGGAUGACUUGUGGCUGGGGGUGAAAGGCCAAUCAAACCGGGAGAUAGCUGGUUCUCCCCGAAAGCUAUUUAGGUAGCGCCUCGUGAAUUCAUCUCCGGGGGUAGAGCACUGUUUCGGCAAGGGGGUCAUCCCGACUUACCAACCCGAUGCAAACUGCGAAUACCGGAGAAUGUUAUCACGGGAGACACACGGCGGGUGCUAACGUCCGUCGUGAAGAGGGAAACAACCCAGACCGCCAGCUAAGGUCCCAAAGUCAUGGUUAAGUGGGAAACGAUGUGGGAAGGCCCAGACAGCCAGGAUGUUGGCUUAGAAGCAGCCAUCAUUUAAAGAAAGCGUAAUAGCUCACUGGUCGAGUCGGCCUGCGCGGAAGAUGUAACGGGGCUAAACCAUGCACCGAAGCUGCGGCAGCGACGCUUAUGCGUUGUUGGGUAGGGGAGCGUUCUGUAAGCCUGCGAAGGUGUGCUGUGAGGCAUGCUGGAGGUAUCAGAAGUGCGAAUGCUGACAUAAGUAACGAUAAAGCGGGUGAAAAGCCCGCUCGCCGGAAGACCAAGGGUUCCUGUCCAACGUUAAUCGGGGCAGGGUGAGUCGACUCCUAAGGCGAGGCCGAAAGGCGUAGUCGAUGGGAAACAGGUUAAUAUUCCUGUACUUGGUGUUACUGCGAAGGGGGGACGGAGAAGGCUAUGUUGGCCGGGCGACGGUUGUCCCGGUUUAAGCGUGUAGGCUGGU
Molecule: ribosomal RNA, 1492 nt
Filed under: Escherichia coli
Lineage: Bacteria; Pseudomonadati; Pseudomonadota; Gammaproteobacteria; Enterobacterales; Enterobacteriaceae
Description: partial 23S ribosomal RNA
Rfam family: Bacterial large subunit ribosomal RNA
Source: RNAcentral